RNAcentral lists this ribosomal RNA (380 nucleotides) under uncultured Bacteroidaceae bacterium. RNAcentral describes it as "bacterial SSU rRNA". It matches the Rfam family "Bacterial small subunit ribosomal RNA", at positions 967 to 1348 of the family's 1533-position model. Lineage: Bacteria; Pseudomonadati; Bacteroidota; Bacteroidia; Bacteroidales; Bacteroidaceae. The record is from RNAcentral.
AACCUUACCCGGGCUCAAACGGGAGAUGACUCGGCCAGAGACGGCCGUUUCCGCAAGGACAUCUUCCGAGGUGCUGCAUGGUUGUCGUCAGCUCGUGCCGUGAGGUGUCGGCUUAAGUGCCAUAACGAGCGCAACCCCCGCGGGCAGUUGCUAACAGGUCAAGCUGAGGACUCUGCCCGGACUGCCGGCGCAAGCCGUGAGGAAGGCGGGGAUGACGUCAAAUCAGCACGGCCCUUACGUCCGGGGCGACACACGUGUUACAAUGGUCGGUACAGCGGGAAGCCAGGCGGCGACGCCGAGCGGAACCCGAAAGCCGGUCUCAGUUCGGAUCGGAGUCUGCAACCCGACUCCGUGAAGCUGGAUUCGCUAGUAAUCGCGCA